UGCUGUCUUAGGCAGCAAAUAUACUAAAAUUAGAACGAUACAGAGAUUAGCAUGUCCCCUACACAAGGAUGACAUGCGAAUUUGUGAAGUGUUCCAUAUUUUU
Molecule: small nuclear RNA, 103 nt
Organism: Phacochoerus africanus (Common warthog)
Lineage: Eukaryota; Metazoa; Chordata; Mammalia; Artiodactyla; Suidae
Source: RefSeq, a predicted model, not a curated record